Molecule: ribosomal RNA, 162 nt
Filed under: Triticum aestivum (bread wheat)
Lineage: Eukaryota; Viridiplantae; Streptophyta; Magnoliopsida; Poales; Poaceae
Description: partial small subunit ribosomal RNA
Source: RNAcentral
AUGGAUAAGCCGACACCUAAUAAGGAUCAGGAGAACAACAAAUAUGCUAAGAGACAACCUUUUGGGGUUAAGGAUAUAAACAACAACAGGGCUUAUGAGGCCGAAGAGAGCUCGAGUGGUGUCUUUUGGUUCUUGAAGACCUGCACGUUCCUGGUGGAGUAG